This 347-nucleotide ribosomal RNA is filed under the name uncultured bacterium. RNAcentral's name for it is "partial 16S ribosomal RNA". It matches the Rfam family "Bacterial small subunit ribosomal RNA", at positions 338 to 682 of the family's 1533-position model. The record is from RNAcentral.
CCUACGGGAGGCAGCAGUGAGGAAUAUUGGUCAAUGGGCGGGAGCCUGAACCAGCCAAGUCGCGUGAGGGAAGACGGUCCUAUGGAUUGUAAACCUCUUUAGGCGGGGAGCAAGGCCGGGCACGCGUGCCCGGAGGGAGAGUACCCGCAGAAGAAGAAGCGGCGAACUCCGUGCAAGCAGCCGCGGUAAAACGGAGGAUGCGAGCGUUAGCCGGAUUUAUUGGGUUUAAAGGGUGCGUAGGCGGAUUUUUAAGUCAGCGGUAAAAUGUCCGGGCUCACCCCGGGCCUGCCGUUGAAACUGGGGAUCUUGAGUGGGCGUGAAGUAUGCGGAAUGCGUGGUGUCGCGGU